GAUUGAAGGUUACCAUGUUUACGUCCAUCAAGAAUUUGGAGACAAUUCCAUCCCCAUUUCACCAAUCUAGAAUUCCUUUCCAUAACCCAUUUCGUUUAAAGAAAACGUUCCUUAAAAUCUUUGUUAUAAUCGGUCAAAAUCCUAAACACCCCAUCUCCCACACGCAAACCUUUAUGUUUGGAAGUUUCGUCAUACCAAAAUUAUGAAUCACAAAGCACGUUUUAUGCAAAAACUAUAUUAUACGCAACCCUUGUUACUUUCUGCAAAUUACACAACUCGAAGAAACCUCUCUCUCUCGUUAUUGAAGGUCGCCGGAACUCGAAGAAGUCACCGGAGAUCGGAGAAUAAACCGGAAACCCGCAAGCUUUGUUCGGUAUACAUUCCUCCGAACCACCACCUCGUUCGGACAUCUUGCACCCUCGCCAGAACAAUCUGGACGACACUAGAGUUCUAUCGGUGUGAACCGAGCUCUCCGGGAUUAGCGUAACUCGUCGGAGUUACGUCAGAACUCAUUUAACCAUCGUCCGGAUAAUCGUUUCGUUCGUUCUCUUGGAUUUCCUAAUCCUACUCGCACGCUUAAUUUUACAAGGAAUCGCAAACGCAACCACUUGUAAUCUCAAGACUUCGUCAAAUCCACUCUCGGUUUUCGUGGAACCCUACGCAAAACUGUUGUUAGACGAAGUGACGAAGAAUCAAGUUUGGAUGGAUGUAGAAACCCACAUUUAUAAUAAACAAUAUUUGAAUCUUGGUUUAUAUUGUCACAAUUAGUGCUAUGAUGCUUUGAGCGAUUUGUUCGUCUCAUCCCGAUGUUUCCGGCAUAGGUCGGGGUGUGACAGGGAAUGAUUAGGAAUGUUAAGAUUCAGUUGGGAGAGUUUGAAUACCCGGUGGAUUUUCUGGUCCUAGACUGUGUUUCUACCAAAAUGGCAGCACAACAAAGGGUAAUCUUAGGUCGACCGUUUCUAUACACAGCAAAUGCUCAAAUCAAUUGAAGAGACGGGAUUAUUACCAUGACCGAAAAGAACCGUAAGUUGUCCUUUGAUGUCAAACUAGAGUGAUUAGUUAUGAGUCCAUUGAGGGGAAGGUGGUGAGUCUAGUGAUUGUAUGAAAAAAGUGUGUCAAAGAAUGAAAAUAAAUCACCCACAGAAUCAUGAAGAAAAGCAUACGGGAUCAAGUAGGAGUGUAUUUGAUUUCCCACCGAAUCGAAACGGGACAGAUGCAUUUUACUCAAUGGCACGAUGUAGUGAUGGAGAUUGCAUGAAUCAUUUCUUUGAGCCACCAUAAAUGGGGGUGGCACGGUCUGGCUGAAGACCCGAAAACUUAGCACUGCUCGGGAGGUAACCCGGGGUUUUUCACUGACCUUGUUAUUUCUUUAUUUUUCUAUGUUUCAGGCUAUGGCAACACUCAAGUGUGGGGAAGAUGUGCGGAUAGUUGUGUGAAGGUGGUGAUAGGAAAUCAGAUCAUUUACAACAUCUGUUGUGUCAAACUUCAUCAGGUCCGUGUACUAUUUCCUUAGACUUGUCAUGUUCUUUAGCCUUGAAAUAUUGGUAGUUAGUUUGUUUGCUUUUGUUUAAAAAGAAAAGAAGAAGUUUGGUGUAUUUUGAGCGAUCUUUCCCUUCAAAGCCAUACAUUGGGGACAAUGUAUCCCAAGUGUGGGGAUGGGGGAAAUUUUUGACACUUUUGAAAAAUUCUGAAAUCAAGCGAAAAAUUAUCUAAAUUUGAAAACUUAAAGUAUUGAAACCGCAUAACACACAGGCAACCCCAUAUACCCUUUUCUUGGUGAGCGUUUGAUCCACUUAUUUGAAUUGUUAGAAAUAUUUUCUUUGAUGAGAGUGGCAAUGGGUGGGGGUGCAUUAGAAUUUGUGCUUGAAUUCGGUUUGAGGCCUUAGCUUGAUAUGUAUGUGAAAAAGGAUAAGGGCAUUUAGGUAGCCUCGUCAUCAUGUGUGCGAGUGUGGGAUUUGGGGGGUUGGACCUCAUAAGUUAUAUAUAUGAGCUUGGUAGCGAGAGGGGCGAGGGGUUUGGACUUUAGUAGCCCAUGUGAGCUUAAAGCCUAUCGUUUGUUAACCCAUGCCUAGUUCCUAAAAAAUUCACCCGUAUUUGACCUGGUAUAGUAGUAUUAGCAUUUUAUAUUAGUAUGUUUGUUAUGUGAUGUUUUGAUUGGUUGAAAAAAAAAGAGAAAAAGCAAUGAAAAAGAAAAGAAAAAAUGUUGGGAUGUAUUGUAUAUAGUUGUUUAAGUUUGUUAGAUAAUAAUAAAAAGAUCGGGUCGAAUCAUUAGCUACUACAUAUAUAUUUCCAUUUCUAUCCAUAUGCCUAGCCACGUUCCAACCUUUAAAUCCCUUUGAUUCACGUGCGUGUUUUAGCAAAUUCUUUAGGCAAAGGACCGAUUUAAGUACAAGCCUAUUAUUGUGCAACCACCCAUUUGCUUUAAGUGUGUUCUAGCUCAUCCUUGCUAGUUAUUAUUUGUAGCCAAGAGUUGAGUCAUUGUGAGGGGUGUGUUAUGCGGAUUUUAGGAAAAAGUUAGUAAAAUGAGGAUAUUCGAUUGCUUAAUUUGUGUUUGAUCGCUUGAGGAAAUUAUGAGUUCUUUUUUACGAGUUGCUUAGGGGCAAGCAACGGUUAAGUGUGGGGACGUGACGGUUUGUCCAUAGGACGACCUUAAGCGUUAAAAAGUAUAAUUUAAUCUCGCAUUUAUCCAUGUAAUUGUCUUGAAUUAGAUAACUACGGUUAUUAUUGUUUCAGGUAUGUACGAGGCCUAAAGGGAGUGAAAAUGCAACUUUGGUGGAAGACGGUUGUCAGACCCCAACCGAUGGCGGAAACAUCGGAGUGAGACGAAAUAGAUUGCUCGAGACAUCAUAACGCUAAUAUUUGUGAAAAGUAUUUAAAUAAUAAGUUGUAGGAUCGUGUA
Long non-coding RNA from Helianthus annuus (common sunflower), 2899 nucleotides. RefSeq lists it as uncharacterized. Lineage: Eukaryota; Viridiplantae; Streptophyta; Magnoliopsida; Asterales; Asteraceae. The record is from RefSeq and is a predicted model, not a curated record. The transcript has 3 exons.